This 274-nucleotide ribosomal RNA is filed under the name uncultured bacterium. RNAcentral describes it as "partial 16S ribosomal RNA". It matches the Rfam family "Bacterial small subunit ribosomal RNA", at positions 523 to 796 of the family's 1533-position model. The record is from RNAcentral.
AUACGGAGGGUGCAAGCGUUAUUCGGAAUCACUGGGCGUAAAGGACGCGUAGGCGGGUUGGCAAGUCAGAUGUGAAAUCCUACAGCUUAACUGUAGAACUGCAUUUGAAACUGCUAACCUAGAGUAUGGGAGGGGGAGAUGGAAUUAGUGGUGUAGGGGUAAAAUCCGUAGAUAUCACUAGUAAUACCAAAAGCGAAGGCGAUCUCCUGGAACAUAACUGACGCUAAGGCGUGAAAGCGUGGGGAGCAAACAGGAUUAGAAACCCUAGUAGUCC